RNAcentral lists this ribosomal RNA (715 nucleotides) under uncultured Staphylococcus sp. RNAcentral's name for it is "bacterial SSU rRNA". It matches the Rfam family "Bacterial small subunit ribosomal RNA", at positions 61 to 758 of the family's 1533-position model. Lineage: Bacteria; Bacillati; Bacillota; Bacilli; Caryophanales; Staphylococcaceae. The record is from RNAcentral.
GUCGAGCGAACAGACGAGGAGCUUGCUCCUCUGACGUUAGCGGCGGACGGGUGAGUAACACGUGGAUAACCUACCUAUAAGACUGGGAUAACUUCGGGAAACCGGAGCUAAUACCGGAUAAUAUAUUGAACCGCAUGGUUCAAUAGUGAAAGACGGUUUUGCUGUCACUUAUAGAUGGAUCCGCGCCGCAUUAGCUAGUUGGUAAGGUAACGGCUUACCAAGGCAACGAUGCGUAGCCGACCUGAGAGGGUGAUCGGCCACACUGGAACUGAGGCACGGUCCAGACUCCUACGGGAGGCAGCAGUAGGGAAUCUUCCGCAAUGGGCGAAAGCCUGACGGAGCAACGCCGCGUGAGUGAUGAAGGUCUUCGGAUCGUAAAACUCUGUUAUUAGGGAAGAACAAAUGUGUAAGUAACUAUGCACGUCUUGACGGUACCUAAUCAGAAAGCCACGGCUAACUACGUGCCAGCAGCCGCGGUAAUACGUAGGUGGCAAGCGUUAUCCGGAAUUAUUGGGCGUAAAGCGCGCGUAGGCGGUUUUUUAAGUCUGAUGUGAAAGCCCACGGCUCAACCGUGGAGGGUCAUUGGAAACUGAAAAACUUGAGUGCAGAAGAGGAAAGUGGAAUUCCAUGCGUAGCGGUGAAAUGCGCAGAGAUAUGGAGGAACACCAGUGGCGAAGGCGACUUUCUGGUCUGUAACUGACGCUGAUGUGCGAAA